GACGAACGCUGGCGGCGUGCUUAACACAUGCAAGUCGAGCGAUGAAGCACCUUCGGGUGUGAAUUAGCGGCGAACGGGUGAGGAACACGUGAAGAAUCUGCCUUCAACUGUGGGAUAACUCCGGGAAACCGGGGCUAGUACCGGAGAUGAGCCUUGAUCGCUUGAUCGCGGCUGGAAAGUCUUUCGGUUGAAGAUGACUCCGCGGCCUAUCAGCUUGUUGGUGAGGUAAUGGCUCACCAAGGCGACGACGGGUAGCCGGCCUGGGAGGGCGACCGGCGACACUGGGACUGAGACACGGCCCAGACUCCUACGGGAGGCAGCAGUGGGGAAUAUUGGGCAAUGGAGGAAACUCUGACCCAGCGACGCCGCGUGAGGGAUGAAGGCCUUCGGGUUGUAAACCUCUUUCAGUAGGGAAGAAGCGAAAGUGACGGUACCUACAGAAGAAGCACCGGCUAACUAUGUGCCAGCCGCCGCCGUAA
Molecule: ribosomal RNA, 479 nt
Filed under: uncultured bacterium
Lineage: Bacteria
Description: partial 16S ribosomal RNA
Rfam family: Bacterial small subunit ribosomal RNA
Source: RNAcentral